GAUGAACGCUAGCUACAGGCUUAACACAUGCAAGUCGAGGGGCAGCACAGUGUAGCAAUACAUGGGUGGCGACCGGCGCACGGGUGCGUAACGCGUAUCCAACCUUCCCGUUACUCAGGGAUAGCCUUCCGAAAGGGAGAUUAAUACCUGAUGGUGUUUGAAUUCCGCAUGUUAUUCAAACUAAAGAUUUAUCGGUAACGGAUGGGGAUGCGUGACAUUAGAUAGUAGGCGGGGUAACGGCCCACCUAGUCUACGAUGUCUAGGGGUUCUGAGAGGAAGGUCCCCCACACUGGAACUGAGACACGGUCCAGACUCCUACGGGAGGCAGCAGUGAGGAAUAUUGGUCAAUGGACGCAAGUCUGAACCAGCCAUGCCGCGUGCAGGAUGACGGCUCUAUGAGUUGUAAACUGCUUUUGUAUGAGGGUAAUAUCAGGUACGUGUACCUGCUUGAAAGUAUCAUACGAAUAAGGAUCGGCU
This 477-nucleotide ribosomal RNA is filed under the name uncultured bacterium. RNAcentral's name for it is "bacterial SSU rRNA". It matches the Rfam family "Bacterial small subunit ribosomal RNA", at positions 28 to 498 of the family's 1533-position model. The record is from RNAcentral.